RNAcentral lists this ribosomal RNA (1420 nucleotides) under Triticum aestivum (bread wheat). RNAcentral describes it as "partial small subunit ribosomal RNA". Lineage: Eukaryota; Viridiplantae; Streptophyta; Magnoliopsida; Poales; Poaceae. The record is from RNAcentral.
AGGGGUGCUGGGGUCGGUCAGUGGAGGGAGGAUCGCGGCACGGGCCGGAGGAAGGGGCGCGGUCGGGUGGAGGGAGGGGUGGAAGAGGCUGCGCCGCGCGGGGGAUGGGAAGGAUGGAAGAGGCCGCUGCGGCCGGUGGUGGUGGAGGAAAGGGCGUCGCGAGGUGGGAGGGUGGUGGAAGGCCCCUAGACCGGCCGCUGGUACCCCUGCUGGAGGGUUGGUGGCCCUGUGGUCUGGUGCGGUGGGGGGAGGUUGGUAACGACGGAGGGCUCAAGAGGAGCGGCCGCGGUGUGGCAAUAGACGGCCGGCGGGGGUACGAGACGGGGCUACGGUGUGGAAGAAGAAAGAAGGAGGGGACAGAGGGUGUUGGUUUGCGGCGGUGUGGGGUUACGGCCUAGGUUCAGGGUCCUCAACGGCCUAAGCGCGCUCUAUGUGACGAAGGUUCGGAGGGCGUCACCAGGAGAAGGGCCGGCUGGUAGAAGGAGCGUCCAAACCCACACCGCACGGGACGUAGAGCGGCCUAAGGGUGCCGAGAGGAGACAUCUUCCCGUUUUCCAAACGGCCUAGACCCGCAGACGCCAUCAACAAAAAGCUGUUGGAGGUGGAGUCCGGAGGACGAGCGUUCGCGGAGGGCACCGGCACCUGCGGCCGCUCACCGCUGGCAGCCUGGGGGGCGCGGACAUCGGUGCCCUAGGUCGGCCUAGGGGAAUAGGAGUGGAGCCUAGCACGCCACUGGAGGUACAGUGGCCACUGCUCGAGGUUGUGGCUGCGGGUGUGGGGGGAGGGGGGAGGGGCUCGUAGCUACUUCUUCGCACGUCACGUCACACGCCACGCACCUCUACAUCACGUCAGAAGGCCGCGUAAGGGGCCUACGCACGCUCCCCUCAGCUGUCGACGUGGUUGCGGGGUACCUUCUCGUCAUCCGCAGCGAAACGUCAAUUCUUUUUUUACGAAAACCUAAAAACGACAGUAAAAAACACAUAAGUCGGGUCUUCUAAAGGAUCACGUCAGGCCACUAAUGAUUACGUUCCAAAAAAUAUCUACGUCACCACGUCAAGCUAAUUUAGGGGGGUGAAGAAGGUGUAGGGGAGCAGGCAGGAACCUCGUCGUGCCCGAACCACCACAUCAUGUUGUGCCGCUUACCGACGUCAAACGACACAUUAUUACGCCGAAAAAGUCUAAAGUAGCCCGUGUUUUUAACAUCAGAAAUAGAAGCUACGUCACGACGGAACAAAGCACAACUUAGACGUCAACGAUUUUCUCGUGGUACCGAUCGACACACAACACGCAUGUCAGGGCUGCCACACCCGUACGGCAAGUGAACCUCGAGGGACCGAUAAGUUAAACGGUACACGAUGACAAGUAAAAGGAUACAAAAGGAGUCAAUUGAAUUUUUUUCAAUACCAACUGAACCUACGUU